UUACUAUGUAAAGAUAAGUGAUCAAUCUUGGUGAAGCCUUAGAGUCUUCUAGAGCAGCCUCCUUCUCUUGAAUUUCCAUGACUAGUCCAUAUAAAGCUUCUUUCAUUUGUUUUGCCCUUGCUCUAGUCAUUGGACCUCCAAUUCCUUGUAAUGGAUCUUUGGAAUUAGCUUGAACCAUUCGGCCAGCCCCUUGAUCUCUAUCAUUCCCUCCCUCGAAAGGAUUCGUCCUCGAAUCACCUACAUCAAAUAAGGAUAAAUCAGCAACAUUAAAAGUAGCACUAAUAUU
Molecule: long non-coding RNA, 286 nt
Filed under: Phoenix dactylifera (date palm)
Lineage: Eukaryota; Viridiplantae; Streptophyta; Magnoliopsida; Arecales; Arecaceae
Description: long non-coding RNA (PDAC_LNC008584)
Source: RNAcentral